Molecule: long non-coding RNA, 5623 nt
Filed under: Sus scrofa (pig)
Lineage: Eukaryota; Metazoa; Chordata; Mammalia; Artiodactyla; Suidae
Description: lncRNA (ENSSSCG00000056098.1)
Source: RNAcentral
CGUGAGCUGUGGUGUAGGUCACAGAUAAGGCUUGGAUCUGGUGUUGCUGUGGCUCUGGCAUAGGCCAGCAGCUGCAGGUCCGAUUAGACCUCUAGCCUGAGAACCUCCGUACGUCGUGGGUGCUGCCCUGGAAAAGACAAAAAGACAAAUAUACAUAUAAACUGGCCUUCAUUAAAAUGAAAACCUUCAGCUUUGCAAAAGACAAUUCCAAAAGAAUUAGAAGACAGGCCACAAACUGGGAGAAAAUAUUUGCAAAAGACGCAUGGGGUAAGGGACUGCUAUCCCAAAUCUACAAAGAGCUCAGCAAUGAGAAACAAACCACCUGAUGUGAAAAUGGGCCAAAAACCUUCACGGACACUCACUUCACCAAAAGAGAGACACGGUCGGCAAAUAAGCCUAUGAGAAUGUACUCUGUGACUCGUGGUCAGGAGCAUACACGUGAACACAGUGCAAUGCCAGGGCAGGCCCGUGAGAAUGGCUGCAGUCUGGAGCGCUGACAACAUGGAACGAGGACGAGGAUGAAGAACAGCAGGGACUCUCACUUGUCACUGAUGGGAAGGCAGCGUGGCCGUCCUCCUUGGAAGAAAGUUUGGCAGUUCCUAACAAAAAUGAAGCAUAUUCUUACCAUGUAAUCCAGCAAAGUGUUUACCGAAAGAAGUAGAAAAUUUAUGUCCCCCCAAAAAUCUACACGUGGAUGUGCAUAGCAGCUUUAUUCGUAAUUGCCACAGCUUGGAAGCAGCCAAAUGACCUUUAAUAGGUGAAAGGAUAGGUAAACUGGGGGACAUCCAGGCAAUAGAAUAUUAGUCAGUGCUAAAAAGAAAUGAGCUCUCAAGCCAUAAAAAGACAAGGAGGAAGCGUUUACAUUGGGGCACAGCAGAAACGAAUCUGACUAGUGACCGUGAGGUCGCAGGUUCAAUCCCUGGCCUCCAUCAGUGGGUUAAGGAUCCAGCAAUGCCCUGAGCUGUGGUGUAUGUCACAGACAUGGCUUGGAUCCCAUGUUGCUGUGGCCAUGGUGUAGGCCAGCAGCUGUAGCUCUGAUUUGACCCUUAACCUGGCAUAGCCUGGGAACCUCCAUAUGCUGCAGGUGCAGCCUUCAGAAAAGCGCGCGCACACACACACACACACACACACACACACACACAGAUAUGGAGGAAACUUUACUGCAUAUUACAAAGUGGAAGAAACCAGUCUGAAAAGGCUACAUAAUAUAUGAUUUGAAUUAUGUGAUACCUUGGGAAAGGCAAAAUUAUGGAGACAGUAAAAAGAUCAGUGGUUGCUGGGGUGAGAGACGGGAGUAAGAUAAGUAGGAAAAGCACAGAGGACAUGUAGCACAGGCAGGGAAACUACUCUGUACAAUAUUAUAAUAUUAUAAUGAUGGGUGUACGUCAUGAUGCUUUUGUCUAAGCCCAUAGGAUGUGUAAGACCAGGAGUAAACCCUAAGGUAAAUUAUGAACUUUGGGUGAUUAUGAUGUGUCCAUGUAGACUGACCUUUGGUUUGAAAAAAAGAAAAAAGGACCAUUCAGGUGAGUGAUAUAAUGGAGUAGGCUAUGAAAGUGUAUGGGAAAUCCCGAUAGUUUUUCUCAAGUUUGUUAUAAACCUAAAAGUGCUCUAAAAAAUAAAAUCUAAAAGAAAACCUAGGAAUUCUCACUCUAGUGCAAUGGGAUCAGCAGUGCCUCUGCAACGCCAGAACGCAGGUUCAACCCCCUGCAUGGCACAGUGGGUUAAAGGAUCCAGCAUUGCUGCAGCUGUGCUGUAGGUCACAACUGUGGCUCGGACUUGAUCCCUGGUCUGGGAACGCCAUAUCCUGGGGGCGGGGAGCCAAAAAAGGAAAAAUAAAUAAAACCUACUUAAAAUUGAUUAUAGAUAGAAUUUACCUCUUCUUGUUCCAGAUUACUUAGCAAUUGGGUUAUUCUGGGAGGCUGGAUUUUGCAAAACAGUAUCAGAAACUUUGCUCAGUGCCAUUAAUGUGAAUCCAGUCUUUGUCCCUUUUUACUCCUAUAUUAAACAGGCAGUUGGAACGUGCCAGCUGGGGCCCAGAUGCCCUCAGGAGGAGGAGGUGGUAAAGGAUGACAAGGAGGCAUAUGAACAAAAGAAGUCGAGUUCAGGAGAAGGCGGGGCCCACAUAGACCAUGGGUGAGGACGGGCGUUGCAGAGGGAGGGUUCUUGUACAAUCCCCUGUUAAAGCGUGAAGAUAUGCUCUCUCGCAGGAACCUGCUGCUUUCUUGAAAGGCCUCAUUUACAUGUUUCCAAUCUGUUAGUAGUGGAUGCGAUGGAUAUUAAAGGUCACAGCCAGGAAGAGAUUUUAAGCCCAAAUACCACAAGAACUCAUUUCACAUAUAUAUAUUUUUUUCUUAGUGGAAACAAAGUAGUUUAAAGAAGAGUCUGUGUGCAUAACAUAAGUAAAUAAACCAAAAUGAAUGUUAAAAGAACUUGCACAUAAUUUUCCAUGAUGGAAGUUCUGAUGGAGGAACUUCUAUUCCCACAAGCAGCCUUUGUCUGAGAUGCAUCCUAUAAGGGUACUCACGGUGAUACCGAGUGUUACAGUGAUUUUUCUGAACCUUCUGACUCUAUGUGAAUGUUAAAUACUCCUUAAGUUCCUGGUGAUCCAUGAGUGAUCAUGGCACUCCUGACUUCCCCUUCCCUACUUCUAAACCGAGGUUGUUUCCCUUCAACAUUUUUUCCCCUGCUUUUUAGGGCUACACCUGCGGCAUAUGGAAGUUCCCAGGCUAGGGCUUGAAUCAGAGCUACAGCUGCAGGCCUACAGCACAGCCACAGCCACAGCCACCUGGGAUCCGAGCCGCAUCCACAACCUACACCACAGCUGACAGCAAUGCAGAUACCUGACCUACUGAGCAAGGCCAGGCAUCGAACCCGCAUCCUCAUCGCUCUAGUCAGAUUGUUUCCAUUGUGCCACAACAGGAAUUCCCCCCCUCAACAUUCUUAAUAACAGAUUUUUGAGCCAAGAGGAAGUCACCUCAGGAUUGAUUCUGACCCCAUAGGAAGCUGUGGGGUUUGGGGGUGGUCUGAUAUCCUGUUGGGAAAAUACUACAGAUGUUGAGAUGUUGGUGAGACUUUUCUAAUUCUAGGGGUCAUUAGAUACCCACUAUCACAUUCCUCCAAUGCCCUCAAGGGAACACGAUUUCAUUUGAUAGACAACCACUUUCAACCUGUAGCAUAUUUCAAUAUGUAGCAAGUACCACAUGUGGCAGCAUGUUAAAUGUGAAGGAGACAUAAAUCCCUAUCUUUGACAGGGCAGAAUGUUCUCCAAAGAUCCAAGGCAAGAGUUGGAGACCAAGGGAAAUUCCAGAUGGUUAUUUUCUGUCCUUUGGGAACCUCAGUCUCAACAGUUAACAAUGGUGAACAGAGAACAUGGGAAAGGCAAAGCAAGAGCCAUGCCCUUGUCUCUGGCUGUGCAUGUCUUGAUCUCUCUUUGGCCUUAUCUAAAGAUGCCUAUACCAUUGAACCUCAGGGAUGGUGCUGGAGGGGCUGCUCCAGGCAUCUAAGGGCCAUGGUGUUAGACUUGAGUCUCCUCUGAAAUUCAGAUGCUUAUUAUGGACCAACAGAGGAAGCUUUCCAGGACUCUCCCUGACUAAGAGAGAAGACCAGACUUGACCAACAGAAGGUCUUGGGGCUGCCUCAACCAGAGUUUCAGAGUCUGCUGGGCUGUGGGAAACCAUUCCAGGCUGGCUAGCAGUUGAGCCUGAUUAUUUGGGGAUCUGAUUACAUCCUAGUAAAGUAUGAUUUGGAAGAGAGUAGAGUUGGUUUCCAAAGACUCCAAUCUAUAUACCUACCUGCAGGAGUGCGUCCUGAGAUUCCUUCACUGUCACUAAUGUCCCAUUCCUCCUCUAAAAAUAUAGGAUUAAUGGCUGAAUUGGGUGAUGCAGACUCAAAGGAUUACCAUUGUUGGAGAAAGGGGUAGAUCAACAAGGGUGUAGCCAUCAAGAAAGGCUGCAGGGGAGUUCCCGUCGUGGCUCAGUGGUUGAUGAAUCUGACUAGGGACCACGAGGUUGCGGGUUCGAUCCCUGCCCUUACUCAGUGGGUUGCGGAUCCGUCGUUGCUGUGAGCUAUGGUGUAGGUCGCAGACGUGGCUUGGAUCUGGUGUUGCUGUGGCUGUGGUGUAGGCUGGCAGCUGCAACUCCAAUUGGACCCCUAGCCUGGGAACCUCCAUAUGCUGCUGGUGCAGCUCUAGAAAAGAUGGGAAAAAAAAAAAAAGGCUGCAGAAAGAAUGUGACUUGGAUGGGCAGAGAAGGAGUGGGGUUACUAUAAAUUUGCACUGGGUAUGGGUGAGUGGUUGCAUAAAUGGCCUUAUGCAAACAAAAUGGCAGAAAAAUAAUUCAGUUUUAAUAUUGAUUCACUGAAAGUACUGAAAUACCAACCUGUCCCAGGUUGGAUUCUCCAGGAAACAAAUCAUAAGAUAGUGUGUAUUUGUUUCCUAUUGCUGCUGUAACAAAUUACCACCAGCGUAGCAGCUUAAACAACACACAUUUAUUAACCUACAGUUCUAAAUAUCUGGAGCCUAAAGUGGGUCUGUAGGAUCGUGUGAUUUCUGGCUCUAAAGGAGAAUUGAUUUUCUUAGUUUUUCCAGAUUCUAGAGGCUGCCUGCAUUCCUUGGCUUGUGGCCCUUUCUUCCACCUUCAAAGCCAGCUUUGCAACAUCUUUGCUCCCUCUGAUCUCCAGUCACCUCCUCAUAAAGACCCUUGGGAUUACACUGGACCCAUUGGGACAAAGCAGGAUACUCCUUCUAUCUCAGAUUCUUAACUUAGACACACAUCAAAGCAUUUAUACGUUCUGGGGAUGGUUGUGGAUCUCCUUGUGUGUGGGGGGGGGUCAUUAUUCUGUCUAGUACACAGUGUUCAGUGUUCAGAACCAACAAUUGCAAAAAGGGAGAGAAGGAAGAAGAAUGGAGAGAGGGAGAAGCUGAGCUGUGAUGCAGCCUGAGAGUGUCAGCUGACCCCAGGAGGAGCUCUGGGGCUAGAAUAACCAGUCAGAGGUAUCUUAUUUGGAACCGAAGUGACCAAGCUUUUGUUCUUUCUCCUAGAUCAAGUCAUUAGAACUGGGCCACCCCCAGAAGGGCAUGACACCAGUUAAGCUGACUCACUGUACACAGGCUGUUCUGCAGGGGCUGACAGCUGAAGAUUGUCUAUACACCGUGCUCCUAGCAGCUGGGACAGCAGGUCUUUCCUUGAAGGUCCAUCCACGUGGUGCAUCACAUGGCCACCACUCACCCCUGGUCUUGAUGCCUGAAAAGAGUCUUUGGAGAUGUUUUGCUUCAUGUGUGGCCUUACAAGCUGGUGUUUAAGACGUGGCUGCCACUAUACUCCCCCAGGGGAUGGGGUGGGUGGGUGGGGUUUAACUUCUGUAAAGCAUGAAUAAUCCCUAACUUUUUAAUUUAUAACUGAUAGAAUUUGUUCCAAAUGACAGAAUUGCAGUUUCCUCGGUCCCUGCGCUGCUGUAAGUGUUUUACAAAUUUAUUGAAGCAACAGUACAUUUUCAGAGCGAGAGAGUACAUGGGCACUGCUUGCAGGUGUGCCAGUAAAAAGAGGGCCCACAUCACUUAACAGUUUUUGGUUUUUUGUUUUGUUUUGUUUUAUUUUGGGUCAUUUUAGGGCCUCACCUGCGGCAU